Molecule: ribosomal RNA, 407 nt
Filed under: uncultured bacterium
Lineage: Bacteria
Description: partial 16S ribosomal RNA
Rfam family: Bacterial small subunit ribosomal RNA
Source: RNAcentral
AUUGAACGCUGGCGGCAUGCCUAACACAUGCAAGUCGAGCGGAGCUGCGGACGGGUGAGUAAUGCCUACGAAUCUGCCUGGUCGUUGGGGAUAACGUCCGGACACGGGCCCUAAUACCGCAUACUAUCAGAUGAGCCUAGGUCGGAUUAGCUCGGUGGUGGGGUAAAGGCCUACCAAGGCGACGAUCCGUAACGGGUCUGAGAGGCUGAUCAGUCACACUGGAACUGAGACACGGUCCAGACUCCUACGGGAGGCAGCAGUGGGGAAUAUUGGACAAUGGGCGAAAGCCUGAUCCAGCCAUGCCGCGUGUGUGAAGAAGGUCUUCGGAUUGUAAAGCACUUUAAGUUGGGAGGCGUUACCAACAGAAUAAGCAACGGCUAACUUCGUGCCAGCAGCCGCGGUAAUUC